GAGGGUAUAGCUCAGUGGUAGAGAGCAUGCCUAGCAUGCAUAAGGUCCUGAGUUCAAUCUCUGAUACCUCCA
Transfer RNA from Camelus ferus (Wild Bactrian camel), 72 nucleotides. It matches the Rfam family "tRNA". Rfam says of the family: Transfer RNA (tRNA) molecules are approximately 80 nucleotides in length. Lineage: Eukaryota; Metazoa; Chordata; Mammalia; Artiodactyla; Camelidae. The record is from Rfam.